UCCUCACAUCUGCUAUGCUUCUGCCUUCCUACGCUGGCAGGAGCCGCUGAGAAGCUCAAAUGGAGUAAAGGAGGAGAACGAGAGGAAAGUCCAUACCCAAGUGCAAUCAAGAAUGGAAGAAUUGAAAGGGGAGAAAAAAACUAGGAAGGAAAGAAUAUAGAGACAGAAAAGAAAGCCGGAAAAAUCAAUAUGAAGUUAAGAAGUUACUGUUAUCUCAAAUUACAAGAGGUUACCUUUCCC
RNAcentral lists this long non-coding RNA (240 nucleotides) under Mus spicilegus (steppe mouse). RNAcentral's name for it is "lncRNA (ENSMSIG00000017482.1)". The record is from RNAcentral. Lineage: Eukaryota; Metazoa; Chordata; Mammalia; Rodentia; Muridae.